Small nuclear RNA from Dioscorea cayenensis subsp. rotundata (Guinea yam), 162 nucleotides. RefSeq annotates it as U1 spliceosomal RNA. Lineage: Eukaryota; Viridiplantae; Streptophyta; Magnoliopsida; Dioscoreales; Dioscoreaceae. The record is from RefSeq and is a predicted model, not a curated record. The transcript has a single exon.
AUACUUACCUGGACGGGGUCAACGGGCGAUCAAAAAGACUCGUGGCCUAGGCCGGUGGGCCCCAUUGCACAUAGGGUGCUGCGCUGGCUUACCAUCUGUCCACGUGGCAGAAUGGACGUCAUAAUUUGUGUCAGAGGGGGUACGCGUGCGCGCGGCCCCUGC